UUCGCCUGUUUAUCAAAAAACAUAGCUUAUUGGAUUUUUAUAAUAAGUAUUUUCUGCUCAAUGCGUUAGUAGUAAAUAGCCGCAGUAUCUUGACUGUGCAAAGGUAGCAUAAUCAUUUGUCUUUUAAUUGGGGACUGGAAUGAAUGAAAAUAAGAAGCUAAUUCUGUCUUUUUUAUUUAGGUAUAAUUUGUUGUUUUUGUGAAGAAACAGUAUUUUUAAAAAAAGACAAGAAGACCCUAUUAAGCUUCACUUUUUGAAUGGUUUGUAGUUUCUUUUUUGAGAAUUGACUAAAAAUUUUUUUAAAGUUUAGUUGGGGCGACUAAAAAGGAUAAUUAUCCUCUUUUUGAGUUGACUUAUUGACUUUUUGGUUUGAUUUAAAGAUCCAAAAUUUUUGAUUUAGAGAAUGAGUUACUAUAGGGAUAACAGCGUAAUUUUUUUGGAGAGUUCUUAUUGAUAAAAAAGUUUGCGACCUCGAUGUUGACUUUUUAUUCCCUGUGUAGGUGCAGUAGUUGUUAAGGUUAGUCUGUUCGACUAUUAAAAUAAA
This 544-nucleotide ribosomal RNA is filed under the name Nemertea sp. RCMBAR2041. RNAcentral's name for it is "partial 16S ribosomal RNA". It matches the Rfam family "Bacterial large subunit ribosomal RNA", at positions 1795 to 2597 of the family's 2925-position model. The record is from RNAcentral. Lineage: Eukaryota; Metazoa; Nemertea.